This 433-nucleotide ribosomal RNA is filed under the name uncultured bacterium. RNAcentral's name for it is "partial 16S ribosomal RNA". It matches the Rfam family "Bacterial small subunit ribosomal RNA", at positions 29 to 507 of the family's 1533-position model. The record is from RNAcentral.
AACGAACGCUGGCGGCAGGCCUAACACAUGCAAGUCGAGCGGACCCUUCGGGGUUAGCGGCGGACGGGUGAGUAACGCGUGGGAAUAUGCCCUUCUCUACGGAAUAGUCCUGGGAAACUGGGGGUAAUACCGUAUACGCCCUUUGGGGGAAAGAUUUAUCGGGGAAGGAUUAGCCCGCGUUGGAUUAGGUAGUUGGUGGGGUAAUGGCCUACCAAGCCGACGAUCCAUAGCUGGUUUGAGAGGAUGAUCAGCCACACUGGGACUGAGACACGGCCCAGACUCCUACGGGAAGCAGCAGUGGGGAAUCUUAGAAAAUGGGGGCAACCCUGAUCUAGCCAUGCCGCGUGAGUGAUGAAGGCCUUAGGGUUGUAAAGCUCUUUCAGCUGGGAAGAUAAUGACGGUACCAGCAGAAGAAGCCCCGGCUAACUCCGUG